This 301-nucleotide long non-coding RNA is filed under the name Elaeis guineensis (African oil palm). Its description in RNAcentral is "long non-coding RNA (EGUI_LNC073242)". Lineage: Eukaryota; Viridiplantae; Streptophyta; Magnoliopsida; Arecales; Arecaceae. The record is from RNAcentral.
CCCCCCUUAAAAAAAAUUUCAUCCUCGAAAUUUACAUACCUGAGUUUUCGAAGAGUUGUGGAUACUUGAUCUUCAUUUCUGUCUCGAGUUCCCAUGUAGCCUCUCUCUCGCUAUGAUUGCUCCAUUGGAUCUUCACAUAAGGAAUAAUUCGAUGUCGUAACACCUGAUCUUUCUUGUCAACAAUCCAUACUGGAUAUUCUUCAUAAGUCAGAUCCUUCUGAAGACGCAAAGGUUCAUAACUCACCACAUGACUUGGAUCUGAAAUAUACUUUCUCAACAUUGAUACAUGAAACACAUUAUG